This 1302-nucleotide long non-coding RNA is filed under the name Homo sapiens (human). RNAcentral's name for it is "HSALNT0282157". The record is from RNAcentral. Lineage: Eukaryota; Metazoa; Chordata; Mammalia; Primates; Hominidae.
GUAAUUUCCAUGAAAUUGACAUUUUAGAACUAUGACAAAAAGCCAAAUUAAAACUCAGGGGUUCCUAAUCCCUAAAUUCUGAGUCCGUUUUAAGAAAUACCUAAAAUACACUUUAAAACGAACCAAUUAAUAUAAUUACCGUGGGUUUAAAUAACACAUACACACUGGAUUUGUUUCUGUAAAACACAGCUGUUCUGUUAUUUACAUUUUGCUAUUUUUUAAAUUAGAAAUAUGGCUUUAUAUAUUGUACAUAUAUGUAAAGUAACUUUUUAAAAAGAGUGAAUCUGUUGUCUUCUGCCAUCAUUACAUUAAAAAAAAAAAAACCCAACCACCCUACAGCCAAUUAACUUGGAAAUCUUAUAUUCAAGCUUCUGAAUAUUACUGCGGUUGUAGCAAGGGAAGCAGCACAUCCAGGUAGUUAAUGUAGAAGAAACAGGGCACAGGCAGCAACUUGCAUCCCCUGGCAAUUCACAUGGUAAUUUCUUCGCUUCCACUCUCAGGCUCACUCCACCUUGCUUCACCAACCCCCCUCCCCCUAAGACACGAGGCACCCUCUGGGCCACGGAAGGUGCCAUGCGGGGAGACGCCGGAAGAGCGGGGGCAGAGUGCACGGUUCCCACACCCUUAGCCGCGGGCGGCCGCCGCGGGCCCCAGGAGUGGGGAACCGGUUGGGAGAGCGGGGUUGGGGGCGGACCCCAGGGCCGCACCCCUGGUCCCCCCCAUCCCCUUUCUACCGCCACAGACCCAAGAACCCGAAAUCUGCGGCACGAGGCGCGGCGCCCGCAGCCCCCGGCUGGGCCCCGGCGGGGAUGGGCGGGCAGGGGGCGGAGCGCAGCGCAGCGCGGGGCGGCGGGAAAGGGGCGGAGAGGAUAGCUUGGGCUCUGGCGGGCCGCGGGACUGGCAGAACCUGCGGGCGAGGUGGGUGGCUCGCCAGCCGGGACGAAGGGAAAUGAGGACCACCGCUCCGGGGCGCGAGUAGGCGCGUGGAGUCCGGGGGCUCAGCCGCCGCGCCUCUUCCUCCUGCAGCUGGAGACUGCAACAGCGGCGGGUGCACCGGCAGCAGCGACGACCCUGCGCGCAGGUGGCAGUGUAGAAGCCAGACCGGGAGCUUCCAGAAGUGGUUUCUGAAAGAGUCAAAUGUACAUGAGUAAGCAAGCACAGGAAUCUGAAAAACCACAGAGUGGGAACUUCCCUUCUGUUUGCUUAUGUCACUUCUUCCACAUCUGUUGAGAUGAGAAUAUGAGUAUCCUCCUUAAAUAUGUUAAUAUGGCUAUGGAUGGAAUGUCUUGAGAAUGAAGUUGA